Molecule: microRNA precursor, 69 nt
Filed under: Marmota monax (woodchuck)
Lineage: Eukaryota; Metazoa; Chordata; Mammalia; Rodentia; Sciuridae
Source: RNAcentral
UGUGUGUGUGUGUGUGUGUGUGUGUAUGUAAUACAUACAUACACAUACAUACACACACACACACACACC